UUUCCGUAGGUGAACCUGCGGAAGGAUCAUUAUUGUAUAACCGAGGUGCGAGGGCUGUCGCUGACCCGAAAGGUCGUGCACGCCCGAGUGCCCUCACACACAUCUAUUUCACCCCUAUGUGCACCACCGCGUGGGUCCCCCUUUGGCUUGUUCGGAGGGGGGCUUACGUUUUCACACAAACUUUGUAUGCAGUGUAGAAUGUAUUUUUUGUUUUUGCGAUCACGCAAUCAAUACAACUUUCAACAACGGAUCUCUUGGCUCUC
Molecule: unclassified non-coding RNA, 263 nt
Filed under: plant metagenome
Description: partial contains small subunit ribosomal RNA, internal transcribed spacer 1, and 5.8S ribosomal RNA
Source: RNAcentral